UAAUACAGAGGUGGCAAGCGUUGUUCGGAAUUACUGGGCGUAAAGGGCUCGUAGGUGGCCAACUAAGUCAGACGUGAAAUCCCUCGGCUUAACCGGGGAACUGCGUCUGAUACUGGAUGGCUUGAGUUCGGGAGAGGGAUGCGGAAUUCCAGGUGUAGCGGUGAAAUGCGUAGAUAUCUGGAGGAACACCGGUGGCGAAGGCGGCAUCCUGGACCGACACUGACACUGAGGAGCGAAAGCCAGGGGAGCAAACGGGAUUAGAUACCCCGGUAGUCCUGGCCCUAAACGAUGAAUGCUUGGUGUGGCGGGUAUCGAUCCCUGCCGUGCCGAAGCUAACGCAUUAAGCAUUCCGCCUGGGGAGUACGGUCGCAAGGCUG
Molecule: ribosomal RNA, 377 nt
Filed under: uncultured bacterium
Lineage: Bacteria
Description: bacterial SSU rRNA
Rfam family: Bacterial small subunit ribosomal RNA
Source: RNAcentral